CCUACGGGUAGCAGCAGUGAGGAAUAUUGGUCAAUGGACGAGAGUCUGAACGAGCCAAGUAGCGUGAAGGAUGACUGCCCUAUGGGUUGUAAACUUCUUUUAUAUGGGAAUAAAAUGUUCCACGUGUGGGAUUUUGUAUGUACCAUAUGAAUAAGGAUCGGCUAACUCCGUGCCAGCAGCAGCGGUAAUACGGAGGAUUCGAGCGUUAUCCGGAUUUAUUGGGUUUAAAGGGAGCGUAGGUGGAUUGUUAAGUCAGUUGUGAAAGUUUGGGGCUUAACCGUAAAAUUGCAGUUGAAACUGGCAGUCUUGAGUACAGUAGAGGUGGGCGGAAUUCGUGGUGUAGCGGUGAAAUGCUUAGAUAUCACGAAGAACUCCGAUUGCGAAGGCAGUUCACUGGACUGCAACUGACACUGAGGCUCGAAAGUGUGGGUAUCAAACAGGAUUAGAUACCCCAGUAGUC
RNAcentral lists this ribosomal RNA (460 nucleotides) under uncultured bacterium. RNAcentral describes it as "partial 16S ribosomal RNA". It matches the Rfam family "Bacterial small subunit ribosomal RNA", at positions 338 to 795 of the family's 1533-position model. The record is from RNAcentral.